Molecule: ribosomal RNA, 459 nt
Filed under: uncultured bacterium
Lineage: Bacteria
Description: partial 16S ribosomal RNA
Rfam family: Bacterial small subunit ribosomal RNA
Source: RNAcentral
CCUACGGGAGGCAGCAGUGAGGAAUAUUGGUCAAUGGCCGAGAGGCUGAACCAGCCAAGUCGCGUGAGGGAAGAAUGUCCUAUGGAUUGUAAACCUCUUUUGUCAGGGAGCAAAGUCACCCACGUGUGGGUGUUGGAGAGUACCUGAAGAAAAAGCAUCGGCUAACUCCGUGCCAGCAGCCGCGGUAAUACGGGGGAUGCGAGCGUUAUCCGGAUUUAUUGGGUUGAAAGGGUGCGUAGGCGGGUUAUCAAGUCAGCGGUAAAAUCGUGGAGCUCAACUCCAUCCAGCCGUUGAAACUGAUGUUCUUGAGUGGGCGAGAAGUAUGCGGAAUGCGUGGUGUAGCGGUGAAAUGCAUAGAUAUCACGCAGAACUCCGAUGGCGAAGGCAGCAUACCGGCGCCCGACUGACGCUGAAGCACGAAAGCGUGGGUAGCGAACAGGAUUAGAUACCCGAGUAGUC